RNAcentral lists this long non-coding RNA (723 nucleotides) under Panax ginseng (ginseng). RNAcentral describes it as "long non-coding RNA (PGIN_LNC015374)". The record is from RNAcentral. Lineage: Eukaryota; Viridiplantae; Streptophyta; Magnoliopsida; Apiales; Araliaceae.
UGAUUUUCGAAAACAUUGAGUUUAGUAAUAUUGCUUAGUGCUUACAUGAAAAUCUCACUUACAUGAACAGUGGCGGAACUAGAAGGUUUUUGUAGGGGGGUCAAAAUUUUUAAACCAAACAGGUCGAAAUUAUUAAUACCACCACUUGCCUCUUUUGUGCUAUGUCGGAAUUUCAGUUGGUUUGGUUCACAAACGGUCCCUAAGCAGUGCCACUCUCUGUAGAAACGACCCUUGAAGCAAUUCACAACAAAUCCCCAAUUAAACCCACUAAUUCUAAGCCAAAACAGUCCAACUUUUCUCUCAGGCAAAUUAUCGAACACCUUGUGUGUGCUCUGAAAACCCAACUAGACAGACCUUGCCUAAAAGAGCUCUAACCAGAUUUUCGACAGUGGAAAUCACACCAAUGCACAGUAAGAAAUACACAAAUCCAAACAAUUAACCCACAAAUAACUUCUGAUUGACUAAAAUCAAAAUUACCUUGAGGGAGAAAAUGCAUAGUAAGAAAUACACAAAUCCAAACAAUUACCUUUCGUAUGUUGGUGAUGGACUGCAGCAAAGAAAUGGUGAGGGUUGUGCUUAGCAGAAUGGAGAAGUUUUGUGGAAAAGAAGGGAUGGUCUCCCCAAGAGCCGAGUUCAGCUUCUCCUCAAACCCAGUCCCACUCGCCCGAGUCCACAGCACUGAAGAAGAAGAAGAAGAUGAUGAUGGCAGAAGAAGAAGGAAGA